Molecule: non-coding RNA, 70 nt
Organism: Dermacentor silvarum
Lineage: Eukaryota; Metazoa; Arthropoda; Arachnida; Ixodida; Ixodidae
Source: the annotation of a RefSeq genome assembly
GCCCGGCUAGCUCAGUCGGUAGAGCAGAUUUUUAAUCUCAGGGUCGUGGGUUCGAGCCCCACGUUCGGCG